CCUACGGGAGGCAGCAGUGAGGAAUAUUGGUCAAUGGACGAGAGUCUGAACCAGCCAAGUAGCGUGAAGGAUGACUGCCCUAUGGGUUGUAAACUUCUUUUAUAUGGGAAUAAAAUGUUCCACGUGUGGGAUUUUGUAUGUACCAUAUGAAUAAGGAUCGGCUAACUCCGUGCCAGCAGCCGCGGUAAUACGGAGGGUCCGAGCGUUAUCCGGAUUUAUUGGGUUUAAAGGGAGCGUAGGUGGAUUGUUAAGUCAGUUGUGAAAGUUUGCGGCUCAACCGUAAAAUUGCAGUUGACACUGGCAGGCUUGAGUACAGUAGAGGUGGGCGGAAUUCGUGGUGUAGCGGUGAAAUGCUUAGAUAUCACGAAGAACUCCGAUUGCGAAGGCAGCUCACUGGACUGCAACUGACGCUGAGGCUCGAAAGUGUGGGUAUCAAACAGGAUUAGAUACCCGGGUAGUC
Molecule: ribosomal RNA, 460 nt
Filed under: uncultured bacterium
Lineage: Bacteria
Description: partial 16S ribosomal RNA
Rfam family: Bacterial small subunit ribosomal RNA
Source: RNAcentral